UGCGUAAUAGCUCACUGGUCGAGUGAUUCUGCGCCGAAAAUUUAACGGGGCUAAAUUGUACACCGAAGCUUGGGAUACAUCUAAUGUAUGGUAGGAGAGCGUUGUAUACGGGGUGAAGUCAGAGCGGAAGCGCUGGUGGACUGUAUACAAGUGAGAAUGCCGGAAUGAGUAGCGAGAAUUAUGUGAGAAUCAUAAUGGCCGAAAGCCUAAGGUUUUUGGAGGAAGGUUCGUCCGCUCCAAGUAAGUCGGAAGCUAAGGUGAGGCUGAAAAGCGUAGCCGAUGCACAAACGGUUGAAAUUCCGUUACCACAGAAAGAUUUAAACUAAGGGACACUUUUGAAGAGCUGAUGCCGGGUGUUGGUUACCCCGGUCGUAAGGGAACGAAAUUAAGUAGUGAAGUCAGCGUGGAUGAAGGCGAGAAAAGCUUAGUGUAUAUCUUAUGUGUCCGUACCGCAAACCGACACAGGUAGGUAGGAAGAGAAUUCUAAGGCCAACGGGAGAAGGGUAGUUAAGGAACUCGGCAAAAUGUCCCCGUAACUUCGGAAUAAGGGGAGGUUUCUACGGAAACCCGCAGAGAAUAGUCCCAGGCAACUGUUUAUCAAAAACACAGCUCUAUGCUAAAUCGAAAGAUGACGUAUAUGGGGUGACGCCUGCCCGGUGCCGGAAGGUUAAGAGGAGGAGUGAGAGCCCUGAAUCGAAGCCCCGGUAAACGGCGGCCGUAACUAUAACGGUCCUAAGGUAGCGAAAUUCCUUGUCAGGUAAGUUCUGACCCGCAUGAAAGGCGUAAUGAUUUGGGCACUGUCUCAACAGCCCGCCCGGCGAAAUUGUAGUACCGGUGAAGAUGCCGGUUACCCGCGACAAGACGGAAAGACCCCAUGGAGCUUUACUGUAGCCUAAUAUUGGGUUUCGAUGUUGCAUGCACAGGAUAGAUGGGACACAGGGAAACAAUCGCUUUGGCGGUUGCGGAGUGGCCGUUGGGAUACCAUCCUUGCGAUAUUGGAAUUCUAACCUGCGGCUCUGAAUCGAGUCGGGGGACAUUGUUAGGUGGGCAGUUUGACUGGGGCGGUCGCCUCCUAAAAAGUAACGGAGGCGUUCAAAGGUUCGCUCAGCUUGAACGGAAAUCAAGCAAAAGAGUGCAAACGCAGAAGCGAGCCUAACUGCGAGACUGACGGGUCGAGCAGUAACGAAAGUUGGAGUUAGUGAUCCGGUGGUAUGUGAGUGGAAAUGCCAUCGCUCAACGGAUAAAAGCUACCCUGGGGAUAACAGGCUGAUCUCCCCCAAGAGU
This 1284-nucleotide ribosomal RNA is filed under the name human gut metagenome. RNAcentral's name for it is "bacterial LSU rRNA". It matches the Rfam family "Bacterial large subunit ribosomal RNA", at positions 1131 to 2499 of the family's 2925-position model. The record is from RNAcentral.